Molecule: ribosomal RNA, 1453 nt
Filed under: uncultured bacterium
Lineage: Bacteria
Description: bacterial SSU rRNA
Rfam family: Bacterial small subunit ribosomal RNA
Source: RNAcentral
GAUGAACGCUGGCGGCGUGCCUAAUACAUGCAAGUCGAACGAGGCCCUCUUCCUUCGGGAGGAGGUGUCCAAGUGGCGAACGGGUGAGUAACACGUUGGUGACCUACCCCGAAGAGGGGGACAACCCCGGGAAACUGGGGCUAAUACCCCAUGUGAUCCUAAGGAUUAGAUGCCUAAGGAUGAAAUGGAGCAAUUCGCUUCGGGAGGGGCCUGCGGCCUAUCAGCUAGUUGGUGAGGUAAUGGCUCACCAAGGCAUCGACGGGUAGCUGGUCUGAGAGGACGAUCAGCCACGCUGGGACUGAGACACGGCCCAGACUCCUACGGGAGGCAGCAGCAGGGAAUAUUGCGCAAUGGGCGAAAGCCUGACGCAGCGACACCGCGUGAAGGAUGAAGGCCUUCGGGUUGUAAACUUCUUUCAGUGGGGAAGAAGCGAAAGUGACGGUACCCACACAAGAAGCCCCGGCUAACUACGUGCCAGCAGCCGCGGUAAUACGUAGGGGGCAAGCGUUGUCCGGAUUCAUUGGGCGUAAAGAGCUCGUAGGCGGCUUAGCAAGUCGGUCGUGAAAUGCCGAGGCUCAACCUCGGAACGCCGAUCGAAACUGCUAUGGCUAGGGUCCGGUAGAGGAGAGUGGAAUUCCCGGUGUAGCGGUGAAAUGCGCAGAUAUCGGGAGGAACACCAGUAGCGAAGGCGGCUCUCUAGGCCGGUACCGACGCUGAGGAGCGAAAGCGUGGGGAGCGAACAGGAUUAGAUACCCUGGUAGUCCACGCCGUAAACGUUGGGCACUAGGUGUGGCGAGUUCAUCAAUGCUCGCCGUACCGAAGCUAACGCGUUAAGUGCCCCGCCUGGGGAGUACGGUCGCAAGGCUAAAACUCAAAGGAAUUGACGGGGGCCCGCACAAGCGGCGGAGCAUGCGGCUUAAUUCGAUGCAACCCGAAGAACCUUACCUGGUCUUGACAUUAUGGGAAAAACCAUAGAGAUAUGGUGUCCGUAAGGGUCCAUAACAGGUGGUGCAUGGCUGUCGUCAGCUCGUGUCGUGAGAUGUUGGGUUAAGUCCCGCAACGAGCGCAACCCCUGUCCUAUGUUGCCAGCGGAUCAUGCCGGGGACUCACAGGAGACUGCCGGGGACAACUCGGAGGAAGGCGGGGACGACGUCAAGUCAUCAUGCCCCUUAUGACCAGGGCUGCACGCGUGCUACAAUGGGCGGUACAACGGGUCGCGAGCUCGCGAGAGUCAGCUAAUCCCUUAAAGCCGUCCUCAGUUCGGAUUGGGGUCUGCAACUCGACUCCAUGAAGCCGGAGUCGCUAGUAAUCGUGGAUCAGCAAAGCUGCGGUGAAUACGUUCUCGGGCCUUGUACACACCGCCCGUCACAUCACGAAAGUUGGUAACACCCGAAGCACGUGGCUCAACCCCUUGGGGAGAGAGCGUUCGAAGGUGGGGCUGGCGAUUGGGGUG